UACGUAGGGUGCAAGCGUUAAUCGGAAUUACUGGGCGUAAAGCGUGCGCAGGCGGCUUUGCAAGACAGAUGUGAAAUCCCCGGGCUUAACCUGGGAACUGCAUUUGUGACUGCAUAGCUGGAGUACGGCAGAGGGGGAUGGAAUUCCGCGUGUAGCAGUGAAAUGCGUAGAUAUGCGGAGGAACACCGAUGGCGAAGGCAGUCCCCUGGGCCUGUACUGACGCUCAUGCACGAAAGCGUGGGGAGCAAACAGG
This 253-nucleotide ribosomal RNA is filed under the name uncultured bacterium. Its description in RNAcentral is "partial 16S ribosomal RNA". It matches the Rfam family "Bacterial small subunit ribosomal RNA", at positions 524 to 776 of the family's 1533-position model. The record is from RNAcentral.